This 972-nucleotide long non-coding RNA is filed under the name Papio anubis (olive baboon). RNAcentral describes it as "lncRNA (ENSPANG00000051439.1)". The record is from RNAcentral. Lineage: Eukaryota; Metazoa; Chordata; Mammalia; Primates; Cercopithecidae.
AGUCCCCGCGCGACUCCCUCACAGCUACAAGCCAGCCUCAUCAUAAAGGGACUUGAGAGUAGCCAAGGGGAGGAGUAUUUGCAGGUCCUGCAUUGGUCGAGAGGCGAGGCGAGCAGGAUGCGGCUUGCUUUCUGGGCCUUGCAUUUCACAGUGAGGAUUUUAACACUAAUCCUGGUAAAGCCUGCAUAUCAGCGGGGAGUCAGGGUAAAACAAUCUAAAAUGUGGCCCUUCCCAUUGAAUACCCUGUGACCUUAUAGCAAUUGAACUAUUGGCUGCCAUCACUGUAAGUUAAUAACCUAUUUUAUAGAAUGGAGCCUACAGACUGUGUUUUAAAUAGCUUUGCUUUUUUUUUUUUUUUCUUUUUUUUUUUGAACAACAUUCCUGCAGAAUUCCCUGGAGUGAGACUCAGGACAAUAUUAAAUCCAAUGAAUCACGCAGCUUUCAGGAGGGCAGGGCAGCGCGCUGCAGAGGAGCACUGAAUGAUGGCUCGGCCUGGCGUCCCUGGCGGCAGCAGUGGCCGCACCAGGCACCGUGUUCUCAUUCAGCAAAGACUCAGUUUUUAUUUGAAGACUGCGAACAUCUCCAGAACAGGAGACAUUUGGAAGAGCCCGUGCCUACUGGUAUCUGAAACUUGGCUGCUCAUUCUUCAGAAACCCCUUGUAUCCUGCGGAUUCCUCAGCAACACUGUCACACAGAAGAGAACCAGCAAAAUGUGAACAAACAUGAAUAUGAUGUUCAUUUUCAGACUGAAAAAGGAAAUAAUUACAGCUACUAUUUACAGUGUCUGGCUUUUCAGGCUUCAUGCUACAAGCAGCUAACUCUUUGUCAAGCAAUUAAUUUUGUUUAAGAUAAAUAAGUUUAUGUAUUUAAGGUCAUGUUUCAGAAGUAAAACCAGAACUAUGGUUUUUAUCGAGUUAUAAAAUUAGUUGGGGAAAAGGUAAUGAAUCUAAAACAACUCUUGAGAUCUGCCAU